GGUUGCGAUCAUACCAGCACUAAUGCACCGGAUCCCAUCAGAACUCCGCAGUUAAGCGUGCUUGGGCGAGAGGAGUACUAGGAUGGGUGACCCCCCUGGGAAGUCCUCGUGUUGCAACCC
RNAcentral lists this ribosomal RNA (120 nucleotides) under Helianthus annuus (common sunflower). The record is from RNAcentral. Lineage: Eukaryota; Viridiplantae; Streptophyta; Magnoliopsida; Asterales; Asteraceae.